GUAAUUUAGAAAUUUUUUUUAUCUAAAUAAAUUACUGGUGAAAUAAAACAUAAGGUAUCUGGUAAGCAUAUCAAUUUAUUGAUUCAGCACUUGCAAGUUGAUCCAGAAAUUUCAAGAACUAUAGUCUUGGCCGUAAAGGUUUGAAAGUGUACAGCAUAGUUAGGCUUGAACCUAACUUGCUUGUACAACCAAACAAGCCUACAGAUUCAAAUCACAAAUUUGAUUAGAACUUCAUCAGGAUUUUGACUUCAAAGGAUAGCUUCUAUCCUUCAAUUGUUUCCUCUGAUAUGUGUUUAUGGGCACAUGGAGAUUUUUCCACACCAGCACAGAGGAUAUUCCUGAAAAGGCAUAAAGAUACAUACAGAUGAUUGCUUUAGAAAUUCGCCAAUAACAUCUUAACUUAGUCUAAAGUGCAAAGCUGAUUUCUUCACUUUACAGAUUCUUUUGUUCAGAAACUUGUCAAAAGGUGAAGGUAUCAGAUUCAAUCUUAUCUUUCUGGAAUAAUACUGGACUAUAAAAACCGAGUUCUUGACAUCAAAAUAUAUAGUUGUUCCAUAGCCAGUCCAUUAUAAGCAAAGCAAAAGUGAGAGAAAAUGUCAUUUUCCCAGAAUCAUCAUCACCAUCAUCAAGCCAAACAUCACAACAAUUGGGAGGUAUCAUAUGAUAGCUUCCUGCAGGGUUCAUCAUUCAACAAUGGGUAUGAGUAUUUUCUUGAUCCACCAGCAAGGAAUAAUAAUCGUGUUACAGAAUAUGAUCAGAAAGCACCUGUUUGUGUUAGGAUUGGUGAUAAAGAGAUAUGUAAUGAAAGUGUUGAUGCCGUAACUGAGGAGUUCAUUAAGUUGGAGCAUAAGAAGUUUGGAUUUAACAAGUGGAUGAGUGCUGGCUGAGAAAUCACAACCACAAUCCAUCUAUGCACUAAAGCAUCCAUCCUGGAAAAUUUCUUCCCAGUCAUAAAUAAAUAACUCUAUGUGCCUACAAUAAGACUUUGUAUUUCCUUAAUUCUCUUGGUUUGAUCCUAUAUAUAUAUAUUAUUGGUUUCUAUAUGUAUAUGUAUUGAUUAUUGGUUUCUCAGUAUAUAGCCUUUGUGUUUCCUUUUUUCUUUUUUUUCAUUUUUCAUUUGGAGACUCAGUCCUUUUUUGUUAUGACCACAAUGAGAUGGCUAAUUGAACUAGAUUAAAGCUUUAUCUAGCUUAACAGUAGCAAACUUAAUUUAGUCCAGUGAUAAGUCAGAUGUCCUUGCUUUCUAAUUAUGUAAGGAACUGAACUUAAACGAAAGACUUGCAUGGCACAAACUAAACAAAUUAUGUUAAAAAUGGCUGAAUUUCUUGAUGCUUUAUUUGGAAAUGUUUUUGUCACUUGUACACACUGAAAUUUGAGGUAUGCAAAUGGAACAAAACACAAAAUCAAAGCAAGACAUUGUUAUGUAAUAUAAUCACCUCUCACUAGUUUUACUAAAAAAAAAAAAAUCCAUGCAACGCAACAAAAGUGAAGAAAAAUAUUCUUCCCCAAAAACCUAAACAAGCAUCCAUUUUAGGUCAAAAAUUUCCAUCAAUCUAGAGA
RNAcentral lists this unclassified non-coding RNA (1560 nucleotides) under Hevea brasiliensis (rubber tree). Lineage: Eukaryota; Viridiplantae; Streptophyta; Magnoliopsida; Malpighiales; Euphorbiaceae. The record is from RNAcentral.